UGGAAAUGUAACUACAUAGGCGGGGAAUCCAACGGUUGAGAUUACUUCUUUUUUCACUUGUGAGGAUCCAACGGUCCAACGGUUGAGAUUGGUUCAGAAGAGGAAGCAAGUGAAGCGGUGAAAGGAGAAGAAAAAUAAUAAUAGUGGGGAAGUUGGAAGCAUAGAAUAGAAGUAGAAGAAGGAAAAGAAAAGGGAAAGAGAGAAAGAAACAAACAAGUCCUUCGGAUUUUAUUUGGCCAUGUGUUACGGUCAGCAGCGAUCGUUCUCCAGAGACGAAAACCUAACCCCUUCUCGGACCCUUCGAUCGCCCACCGAUAACGCCCUCGUCGUCCAGAAUCUACGGGAUCGUCUUGCCGAGACCGAGGCGCGCCUGGCAAGGGCCAGGGCUCGAGAGGCCGAGCUGAGUCGCUGCCUUAACGAGAUGAAGCGCUUCGUCUCCGUCAUGGAGAUCCUUGAGACCUACCUCAAGCGACGCUUCCGAGAGCAACAAGAUGACGUCGUUCGCUUAUUCUCUCCGCCAUUGCCGCAUUCUUGAAAUUGCAUUUCUCUCCUCGGUGAUUUCCUUACUAAACCUCGUUCACAUCAUAAAUAUAUUUUCUUUUUCUAAUGCCAUUUUGAUUUUUUUAAUUUGUUUAUUUAUAUUCACUCUCUAGGGGUCUUUUUUUUUUGGUUUUCGACAUAAGUUGUGCUUGAUUUGAUUAUAUUACUUUGGUGAUUCGGUUUGAACAUAAUUUUAUAUGGUUUAGUUCUAUUCUAUUGUGAAUUGAUCAUGGAGUCAUAUAUUCUUGACAAGAAGUGUGCAAUUUUAUGGGGAAAUUGGUUUCUGAAAUGGUUUUGAGAUGUGGAUUAAUCCAGCCUUGGUAUGAAAGUGAUAAAAAUAAAAUAAAAUAAAUAAAAAGUGAGUAUUAAUUCAGUGUAAAGCCGUGGAUUACUUUGUAGGGAAGGAGCAUUUUGGAAGUUUUAAUUAUAUUGGCUAAAUCAACAAUGGUGUAGCUUGGUGGGUUUCUGAUAAUGGGGAGUUGGGUUCCUAUAAAAAUAGGAAGGGUUACAUUUGAAAGAAUAAGAUGUUGAAAAACUUGCAUUUUUGUAAGGUUAGUGUUGAAGGGAUAAGAUGUUGAAAACUUUCAUUUGGGUACUUAUGUUUAAUGUUUAUGUACUGUAAUUGCAUUACUUUUCCUAGAUAUGCAUAGUAUUAAACCUGUAGGCUUCAGCAGCAGGAAUAAUGGAAGGCGAUGGACAGUGGAUUGUGUUUCUAGAAUAAUUAUUGAAUUUUAAGAGAUGUUUCCAGAAUUAAGGUGAGUCGCAAUCUUGUUGCCAUGGACUUAGGAAUACUUUUAGAUGAGUUUCUAUUAUGUUGCAGUAGGAGAACCAUAAUUGAAAUGUAUUAGAGCAUUGAAGGUAAAUGAUCUAAGUGGAUUCUGCUGCAAAAAUGAUAAAUAAAGCAGUGGGAGUCUUAUAUGUGAUCAUUCAUUCAUUUGCUUGAGCGUCUUGUGCUAGUGUUUGUAUGCCAUGAAUGAAUAUUCAGGAUCACCCAAAUUCGGUAGGGGUUAUGCUUUAAGAUGAUUAAUGGCACAAAAAGAGAACUACGUGCACUUAGCUUGAUGUAGAUAAGGGAAAUAUUUGAAGGUGAGUCUUAUAAAGACCUUUUAUAUGAAAAUUCUAAAUCUUUUAUUAAUUUCAUUGGUUUAGAGUCUUAAUACUAUUUUCAUGUAAAUGAGUGAUUUCUUGGUGUUCUUUCUAUCCACAUUGAGUUCUUAAAUUUGUUCUUUGGCUACAUCACAUGAAAAAUAUAUUAACUGUAAAGUUUUUAAGAGGACGAUACUUGGUUACCUGUAUCAGUUGACACGCAUUUUGCUCUUUCAUAAAAUUCAAUAGAGUAGCUCAAACAGUUAGCCCUAUGGUUUGCUCCGGCAAGGUUUGAGGUUUGAUUAUCUCUUGAGUGCCUGUAUAGGAGUUGCUACACUUUUCUGGUUAGGCAAGGAGCUAGUUUACAAAAACUAUGACUAAUGUGGGGUAUAUACACCAGCUAAAUAAAUUUAUGACAUUGGCUUUGUUCAAAUAGUUCAGCAUGACCUUUUCCUUGUUAUGACCAGGAAUGAUUCAUAACCGGAGCCGGAAAACAUAUUGAAUGUUGUAAAUUUACAGCAACAAUGAAAGAGAGAGCUCAAUGAAGUGCCACUUAAUGUUCUGAGGGGCUUCAAAUAUAAAAUUUCCCCACCUUUUGUUAAUCAUCACCGGUCAUGAAUAUUAGAUUUUAUUUGCUUCAAAAUAUUGGAGAACUCCAAAUCAUUCCAAAAGUUCAUAUAUGUACAUACAUUCUUAAUGACUAUCAAAUUGAAUAUAUCAUAUUAAGUACA
Molecule: RNA transcript, 2357 nt
Organism: Cannabis sativa
Lineage: Eukaryota; Viridiplantae; Streptophyta; Magnoliopsida; Rosales; Cannabaceae
Gene name: protein SKIP34
Exons: 2
Source: RefSeq, a predicted model, not a curated record